This is a long non-coding RNA of Mus musculus (house mouse), 3997 nucleotides long. RefSeq annotates it as predicted gene, 20199. The transcript has a single exon. The record is from RefSeq and is marked validated. NCBI's taxonomy places the organism in Eukaryota, Metazoa, Chordata, Mammalia, Rodentia, Muridae.
GGAGUUUCAGAAGUGACUUGAUACACAUAUGCUUUGGCAAAUAUACACAAAACUGAAAUAUUAGUAAUAUUUCCUUAAUAUUGAGACGUUUUAUUUAGCUAAAAAUAGCUAUAAUUACUGACACUUUCCUCAGGCUUAAUUAAAAAAAAAUCAUACUUCCAAUUCAGAUAUUGUCAGUUCCAAUUACUUGACAGUAUAUCUUUUAGGUAUAAUUUUUUUCUUUCUUUCUUUUUUUUUUUUUUUUUUUUUGACAGGGUUUCUCUGUGUAGCCCUGGAUGUCUUGGAACUUACUCUGUAGACCAGGCUGGCCUCGAGCUCAGAAAUCGCCUGCCUCUGCCUCCAAAGUGUUGGGAUUAAAGGCAUGCGCCAGCUGGCAUAAUUUUCUAAUUUUAAGAAAUGCUUAGUGUACUGAUUCUAAAUAGCUUGACAGUAUGAUUUUCUAAUUUUUAAAAAAGCUAACUAUAGAGGCAAGUAUCUCCUGAUUCUUAGCAAGACUUUACAACUAGAAGUCACUACCAUGGGUGUUUCUCUUAGCACGGAGACAUUGGGGCAGAUACUUUUUUCUUUCUUUUGUGGGAGAUAGGGGCAGCUCUACUUUGACUAACUUACCUAAUCUUAACUAUUAAGAGUCAUCCUUCCUUCAUUUUCCACAUUUUCCACCAUCCAGUUAGCCCAGGUCAGACUGAUUUCCAGACCUUUUUUUCCAGUUUCUCUGAAUAACUAAUCCUAAUUGUGGGCCUCUAAUUUUAUUUUGGCUCUUGACUCUAGAUAUUCAGUUCAACUGUCAUACUGCUAUCAAACACAUGUAAAAGUUAUUCUUUUGCCUAAAAGAGAUUUUGUUGUUGUUGAAAGUAUAGUUCAUAUUCCUUAUGGCAGUCAUAGUUUCCAUUUUAGUAUCUAAUGUUUUUCCAUCUCAACUGUUCUGUCCUAAUCUCCCACAGCCCUGACUGCUGCAGUGCUUAUAAUUAUAAUACACUUAGAAAGUUUCUUGUUUCUAUUCAUGCUAUUACUUCUUGUAAUAACUUUUCUCUUAAACUGCUUAAGGAUUUCUUUAUCUUUCUCUGGGGUCUCUUUAUUUACCUUUUCAGUGCUUCCUUGUUUGCUUAGUGCUUUAUAUGGAUAUUUUGUGUAGCCCACAAGAGCUUGUUAUAGCCAUCUCUAUAUCUAAGUCUUUCUACUUGACUAAAUAUGAGGGCUUUGAUGGUGAAAGCUGAAACUCCUUGGUCUUUGUGUGCACAACAUACAGCAUACUUACAUAGUCUGACAGAAAAAUACUAGGGAAACAUUUUGAAAUGUUUCCUUAUUUACCAGAUAAUCUGUAAACCAAAGGAAGCCAAAUAAGAUUUUUUUCAAGUACUAGUAAAUUAAUUUAUGGUUUCUAAAUGCUGCAAAUGUGAAUAGUUUAAGACUACAAUGUUUAAAUUCUAAGAGAGAAGCUUUUAAUUUUUUGGAUAGGUUUUGAGACAGGUUUUUGCUGUGUGUGGUUCUGGCUGUCCUCGAACUUGUUUGGAGACUGGGCUGACCUCAAACUCAGACCCACCUGAUUCUGCUGGGAUUAAAAGGGUAUGGUACCAUUCCUGGCUAAGAGGACAAGCUUUUAAAAGCCUCCUUAUUUAAUCUUUGGGGUGUUUUGUUUUGAGACUAGGUCUCACUAUGUAGCUUGACUGGCCUGAAACUUGCUCUGUAGACCAGGCUAGCCUCAAACUCAGAGAUCCGCCUCCCUCUGCUGGGAUUAAAGGGGGGAUGUGUUACCACUACUGGUUAAGAGUACAAACCUUUAAAAGCCCCUUAAUUUAAUCUUUCUUUUUUGCUACUAGAUCUUACUAUAUUUCCCUGGCUGGCCUGAAACUUCCUGUGCAGACUAGACUGGCCUUGAAUUCAUAGAGAUCUGUCUGUCUCUGCCCACUAAGAGCAAAGUUUAAAGGUGUGCAUCACCAUGUCUAGCCUAAAGGCCUUUUUAGAUGUAACAUUUAUACUUGUGUGUCAUUUCUUGGCUCUUUUUAUGAACUGACAUAAUGGUAUUACCAGUUGAUUUAUUCCAGUGUUGAUUUUCAAAGAAUUGUCCACAAAGAAGCUGUUUGACAAGGUGUUAUUUCUCUUUAUAAAUGUUUUGACAUUUAUUCAUGGUGUAGAAGCAGUGAGUAGAUAAAACUUAAGGUACCUAGCAAGAGUUACUCUAAUAAAUUGGUAAUUCAUUAUGUUCUUCCCCACCACACACACUUUCACUUAUUAAUGAGUCUAAGUUCAAUACCAGUUCCUUCUGUUUUUUGAGACAGGGUCUUGCAAUUGCAUAGUCCAAGUUGGUCUGGAACUCAUUAUGUAGAUCAGGAUGCCUUAGAACUAGUUUCCCUCCCCUGCAUGUAGCCUGUUAAGUGCUGGGGUCACAAGUGUGUAUGCCACCAUACUUGGCUUGCUAGUUUUAUGUUGUAAAUGCACAUCUUCUCAGCUUGUGGGAUAAAAUGAGAGGUAUGCAUAAAAUUCUUCUACAAACUAAAGUAGGAUGAUUAUUUUAAAUAAAAAAAAUUGUGCUCAACUUUUGACUUAUUAGCUAAAUGCUGAAGGGGUAGCAUUUUUACUUGGAAGAUGUAUUAAAAACUAUGUCAUUUAAAUAUUUAUCACACAUAUUUUUCUUUAAACAGAAUGUAUUAGCUGUUUCAAGGAAAAGAGCUAAAACGUUGCUGAAUUUGAGUUUUAUUUGAUUUACAAUUUUGAGAAUCUUUAUUUGCCUUUGUGAAAUAGCUUUCUUGUAUUGGAAAACUAUAUAAUAAAAAUACAUUACCAUUUGGAAGAUGCAUAAUGUUAUGAACCAGUAUUUCCAGAGAUUGUUAGGAAUGAGAUAGAAUUCUUAAAAAGGUUAAUAACGUAAUGUACUGACUUUUGGUGUUCUGGCUUUAUAGUGAAAUGACAUGACCAGGAGAUAAUAGGGGCUUUCUUUCAUUUUAAUUAUUGCAGUAGUACUACUCAGAAGAAUUCUUGGUUUAAUAUAAGAGUCCAUAAAACUUUUUCUAACUAGUUUUAUUUUUCCUCCUUUUCUUCUGGGGCAGGAGGUGGGAACAUUCAAGACAAAUUCUGUCACUAAACUAUAUUUCAAACUUAUAAAAAAUAAUUUUAAAGCCUGAUAUUUUAAAACUAUUAUGUUUGUUUUGCCUGUGUGUAUGUCUGUGUAACACAUGUCCAGGAAUAUCAGAGAGGGCUUUGCAUCCCCUGGAACUUAAAUUGAAAGAUACAGUAUCUAAAAUUAAGCACUAAUUAAGAUGCAUUUAAUAGCACAUUAGACAAAAGAGGUCAAUAGAAAUUAUUCAAACUGAAGCAUGGAGAAAAGGCCGAUAGCAGGCCAAUAAACCCAGAAGAACUAACAGAAAGUGCUAAUAUAUGUGUGGCUAGAGCCUCAGAAGAACAUAAGUAAAGGAGGAUGGUAGAACUUCCAAAACUAAUAAACAUGCCCAUAGUCAAAAGAUCUGAUGUUAUCUCAGGAAUAAAUGCAAAGGAAAUACUGACUGGGCUUAUUAAUGGAGUUUUUUUGACUUUUGAGGACGAGGAACAAAAAAAAAUUUUUUUGAGAUAGGGUCUCUUUAUGAAGUGUUGGCUGUUGUCCUGAAACACUAUGUAGGCCAGAUUGGCCUCAAACUCGAAAUGAUCUGCCCAUCUCUGCCUUGUGACUGCUGGAAUUAUAGAUGUGUGCCACAAUGCUCCUCUAAGGGAAGAAACAAGACAAAAACAAAAGCCCUCCACACCAUUCUCACAGUGGAACCCAGAAAACAACAAUCAUUUUUUUGAGUAUCUUGUGUGUGCAUGUAGUGCCAGGGCCUUGCACUUGAUAGGCUGACAUUUUCCCCUGAGGUACAUCUUUAGCCAUGCUUGUUUGUUUUUUGAGAAAGUGGUUUUGUACUAUAAAUAGCUCAGACAAGCUUUAACUUGCUAUUUAACCCAAGCUUGCCUUGAAUUUGUGAUUCUUAUACCUCAGUACCCCAACAACCUUAAAAUGCAAAGAACUUCC